RNAcentral lists this ribosomal RNA (253 nucleotides) under uncultured bacterium. RNAcentral describes it as "partial 16S ribosomal RNA". It matches the Rfam family "Bacterial small subunit ribosomal RNA", at positions 524 to 776 of the family's 1533-position model. The record is from RNAcentral.
GACAGAGGGUGCAAGCGUUGCUCGGAAUUAUUGGGCGUAAAGCGCACGUAGGCGGUCUCGCAAGUCGGGUGUGAAAUCCCGGGGCUCAACCCCGGAAGUGCACUCGAAACUACGAGACUUGAGUCCCGGAGAGGGUAGUGGAAUUCCUGGUGUAGAGGUGAAAUUCGUAGAUAUCAGGAGGAACACCGGUGGCGAAGGCGGCUACCUGGACGGUGACUGACGCUGAGGUGCGAAAGCGUGGGGAGCAAACAGG